AGUGAACGCUGGCGGUAGGCCUAACACAUGCAAGUCGAACGGCAGCACAGUAAGAGCUUGCUCUUACGGGUGGCGAGUGGCGGACGGGUGAGGAAUACAUCGGAAUCUACUUUUUCGUGGGGGAUAACGUAGGGAAACUUACGCUAAUACCGCAUACGACCUACGGGUGAAAGCAGGGGAUCUUCGGACCUUGCGCGAUUGAAUGAGCCGAUGUCGGAUUAGCUAGUUGGCGGGGUAAAGGCCCACCAAGGCGACGAUCCGUAGCUGGUCUGAGAGGAUGGUCCGCCACACUGGAACUGAGACACGGUCCAGACUCCGACGGGAGGCAGCAGUGGGGAAUAUUGGACAAUGGGAGCAAGCCUGAUCCAGCCAUGCCGCGUGGGUGAAGAAGGCCUGCGGGUUGUAAAGCCCUUUUGUUGGGAAAGAAAAGCAGCAGGUUAAUACCCCGCUGUUCUGACGGUACCCAAAGAAUAAGCACCGGCUAACUUCGU
This 491-nucleotide ribosomal RNA is filed under the name uncultured bacterium. RNAcentral's name for it is "partial 16S ribosomal RNA". It matches the Rfam family "Bacterial small subunit ribosomal RNA", at positions 29 to 506 of the family's 1533-position model. The record is from RNAcentral.